This 349-nucleotide ribosomal RNA is filed under the name uncultured Russula. Its description in RNAcentral is "eukaryotic LSU rRNA". The stretch from base 180 to 349 matches the Rfam family "Eukaryotic large subunit ribosomal RNA", at positions 1 to 168 of the family's 3401-position model. The record is from RNAcentral. Lineage: Eukaryota; Fungi; Basidiomycota; Agaricomycetes; Russulales; Russulaceae.
GCCGGAGAAGGCUUGGAAUUUGGAGGUUUUUGCUGGCCUCCCUGGAAGCCAGCUCCUCUUAAACGAAUUAGUGGGGUCCGCUUUGCUUCGAUCCUUGACGUGAUAAGAUGCUUCUACGUCUCGGUCCUUGCUCGGGAACCCGCUUCUAACCGUCUCUUAGGAGACUCUUUACACAACCUUGACCUCAAAUCGGGUGAGACUACCCGCUGAACUUAAGCAUAUCAAUAAGCGGAGGAAAAGAAACUAACAAGGAUUCCCCUAGUAACUGCGAGUGAAGCGGGAAAAGCUCAAAUUUAAAAUCUGGUGGUCUUUGGCCAUCCGAGUUGUAAUUUAGAGAAGCGUCUCCGCG